GUCUAUGGCCAUACCACCCUGAAGGUACCCAAUCUCGUCUGAUCUCAGAAGUAAGCAGGGUUGGGCCUAGUUAGUACUUGGAUGGGAAAUAAUCAGAAGGAUCAAAAGAUAAAUGAAAAGGAGGCCAUUUCCU
Molecule: ribosomal RNA, 133 nt
Filed under: Homo sapiens (human)
Lineage: Eukaryota; Metazoa; Chordata; Mammalia; Primates; Hominidae
Source: RNAcentral